UUCCGUAGGUGAACCUGCGGAAGGAUCAUUAAAAAUAUCGCUCGAUUGAGAGUGAUUUAAUAAUCAUCCUACCUUUGUGAAUUUGUUGUUUGAAUAAUUUUUUUGAUUUUAAAAAAAAAUUAUUUAUGGUUUUGUCUAUCCCUAAAUUGGUUUGUUGUGUAAAUGAAUCAAUUUAGGGAAUAGGCUUUCAUAAAUAAGUUUUUUUAAAGUCUUAAAGACCUUUUUUUAAAAUUAAACUUUGUAUUCAUUUGUCUAAAUUUUUUUUAAAUAAUUUAAAAACAACUUUGACAAUGGAUCUCUUGGUUCUCGCAACGAUGAAGAACGCAGCAAAAUGCGAUAAGUAAUGUGAAUUGCAGAAUACGUGAAUCAUCAAAUCUUCGAACGCAUAUUGCACUUUUUAGUUUACUAAAAAAGUAUGUCUGUUGAGUAUCAGUAAAAUAUUCUCAUAAAACAUUUUUGUUUUAUGGUUAUGAGUGUUUUACAACGAUAAACAAGUUGUUUCACUUUAAAUUCAUUUUAAUUUAAGACCAUUUAUGGUUUUAAUAAAAAUUGGAUAAAAUUUUCCCGUAAAAAGGAAUAAACUUUCAGUUUUUAAUUAUUACCAACAAACGGUCGAUUUAAAAGGAAAUUUAUUUAAAUAACUUGAUCUCAAAUCAGAUAAGAGUACCGCUGAACUUAAGCAUAUCAAUAAGCGGAGGAAAAGAAACUAACAAGGAUUCCUUAGUAACGGCGAGUGAAGCGGGAAGAGCUCAAAUUGAAAUCUUCAAGGUUCUACCUUGACGAAUUGUAGUUUAAAGAAGUGUUUUCUGUUAGAUGAGUAGCAAAAGUUCCUUGGAAUGGACAUCAUAGAGGUGGGAAUCCGUAUUUGGUUAUUCAUUCUAGCUUUGUGAUACACUUUCAAAGAGUCGGAUUGUUUGGAAUGCAGUCCAAAAUGGUGGUAAAUUUCAUCUAAAGCUAAAUAUUGGCGAGAGACCGAUAGCGAACAAGUACCGAGAGGGAAAGAUGAAAAGAACUUUGAAAAGAGAGUUAAACAGUACGUGAAAUUGUCAAAAGGGAGCGUUUGACACCAGUGUUGUUUUUCCAAAAUCAAUUACGAAUGGCUUGAUUUGUGUUGUAUUGACCUUAUCAGCUUUCUUCACUUUUUUCGAGUCUUUCUUAAUGCACUUUUGGUUAACAAGUCAACAUCAAUUUCUUUUGUUGUAAAGAGUAUUCGGAAGGUGGCUUUCUUUUCGGAGAAAGUGUUUAUAGCCCUAUACUUCUACAAUCGGAGAGAUUGAGGUCUGCAGCGUAGAUCCUUCGGGUUAGAUACACUUGUGCUAAGUUGUAGCUUUUCAUAGACAACUUGUUGACUAUGUUUAGUCAUGCGGCUUACUCGCUUAUGCUAUUU
RNAcentral lists this unclassified non-coding RNA (1387 nucleotides) under uncultured Neocallimastigales. RNAcentral's name for it is "partial contains small subunit ribosomal RNA, internal transcribed spacer 1, 5.8S ribosomal RNA, internal transcribed spacer 2, and large subunit ribosomal RNA". The stretch from base 644 to 1387 matches the Rfam family "Eukaryotic large subunit ribosomal RNA", at positions 1 to 617 of the family's 3401-position model. The record is from RNAcentral. Lineage: Eukaryota; Fungi; Neocallimastigomycota; Neocallimastigomycetes; Neocallimastigales.